AGGAAAACAGCGAAGUGCUUGAGAUGGCCGGCAGAUCACAUGUGACUGCACAAGUUCUUUCGCUGCUGUUUUUUUUUUUUCUUCUUCUUCUCUCUCUCUCUUCCUUAGUUUUUGGAAAAGGAAGAGAGAGAGAGAAAAAAGAAACAGGAAAGAUGACAACUUUUAAAGAGGAACGAUAUUUUGUUGUCUGCUGGGAAAAGAGACGCCUUUAUGGAACUUUUAGGUUUGUCAGACAGUUUAUAGGACAGUGCAAGUUGGUGCCUGCCAAGCCCCAGACAGAUUGUUAAUGUUCCAUGACAGGGAUAAAUAAAUUACUGCUGUCUGCAACACGCUUGUGCUGCAAGCCCACUGAGCAGCCCAGCUGCCUGUGUGCUUUUCUUGGGGGCCUGGUGGAAGUAUAACUGCACAGAAGGCCUCAGCCUGCUGCCUACAGGACUGGACCUGGUUUAAAGGGGAAAAGGGUGUGUCUCACACUUUUAUUUUGGGCUUUAUGGUAGAAUCCAUUUACCAAAUAUCUGUUCCCCACCUCCCUUAUUAUAUUAUUAUUAUUAUUAUUAUUUAUUAUUAUUUUUUUUAACUAGAUCCCUGGCGUCUGUCUCCAUUUUGGUCUUCUUCUGGUCCAUACCCACGGUCCUCCUCCUGGGAAAGGGAUACAUUUGUAUCUGCUAAGAGCCUGAGGUCUUCUACAGUGGAGCUCCGUUUACACUGGUGUUCUCUGUGCAGUGGCUGAGUGUGUGCUGCCCGGGAGGGGGGCUGGGUGGCACUCCUUGGGCAUAAUGUACUUUCACCAUGGCAGUUUGGCAACUCAGCUGGCAGAGUGACAGGUGUAAUGGUUGCUCUAGUUAGUGGACACACUGCUCAUAUUACAAAGCCACCUCAUCUGCGGAGCCCUGGCCAAGUGAUUUGCAAUUCUCCUUGCAGAUAGGACUCUGGGCCUGGCUUAUUAAGUGACAUUAAGGUCAGGAAUCGGGUGGGUGUGAGAAACAUGUGUGUGCCCUUCGCCUCGCUGUUUCUAAGUGCCCUGCAGCGACUGACUCUUCAAAGCCUUCCUUGGAAAAGGAAAUAACCCAUCCCAUCCCACCCCCUCUGGCUGGCCCUUCCUUCUCAUAGGGUGUGGUGGGGGAUCCUUUGGUGUGUGUGGACUUCCUGCCCUUGGGGUUUGCAGAAUGUUAGGCUUGCUGCCAACUGUGCUGGUUCCUGUGUGCUUGACGGCCACUGCUCUCCAGAUAUAGGCAGUUGCUGGGACAGGCACAACUCAGUAUUGUUUUUAUUGCCUGUGCCCCGGGGACUGGUAACCUGUGUGUAGAGUUAGGGCAGCCAUUUCUGUAGUAUAAGUUCACUGUCUAAGGCCAAAGCCCGAGGGCUCCUUGAACCUGGCCAGACCUGCAUGGACCCUGGCACUUGGUCAGAUCGCUAUGGCCGGAAUUUCACUUAUGGGCAUGUGUUCUCUGCUGGGUUCUCUUCUUAAGUGCUGUGCAUCUAUCUAUAAGCUAAUAUAAUCUCCAGAGCAGCUCUGUGACAGACACAGCUGAGUUGUAUGGAUGCAAGUCAAAAAGUUAUCCAACGUCAUAUAAAGCAGUGGAGACCUGAACAGCUUGGACCCACGGGGCUAAGCGAUCUGUGGCUUUGACACUUUGGAAAAGGGCUACCCAGGCAGGCAUGCAUUCGCCAGCAGAGGCCAUAAGAGUUGGAGAAGGAAUGCCCCGCCAUUUCUCUGCUGGUCUCUGGGUAGGCCAAUUGCAGUGGGAUUCUCGAUUGCUAGCAUGCCCAGGGUCCUCCUGUCCGCUCCCCAACUUCCGUGUUUUCUUAGUAGCCUCCUUGUUCUGAUUCUGCUCUCUGCUGCUGUCUGGGCUCUCGAGAGUGGCUCAGUUCUGAGAACAGGGCAAGCAGCGGCUUUGUGUUUGCUACAUUGUAACUUCAGUUCCUUGACAGGAAGGCACAAGCCCCCUAGCUAGUACUUUUUUUAUACCCUUCAGAACUAUGUACCUUCCUCUUUCCAUAGUGGUCUGGAGGAACUUGACUGCCCACUUAGGGAUAAAACAGGCUCACAGAAGGGCAAGUGGGGCUAAGGGGAGGCUGUUUAUGUAGAAGUGUCUAUUUAUGUAGAAGAAUCAUGGAGUACCAUACUUUUCCCUUUGGCUUACAUUUGAAGAAACUUGCAGUGAAGAUUCUGGACUGGGCACCACAGGGCAUCAAUCAAUUAGCCACACACAGAGAGAUGUGUAUACACCCUGUAAAUACUUAAGCUUACAAGGGAUGUGCAUAUAAAAUUGGGCCUGAUUGAACAGCCCUUGCUGUGUUUGGAAGCAUUCUCAUGACCACGGAAAGGACAGGCGGGCUCUAAGGUCAAUAUUCAGCAGGCGUUUCCUUGAGUCUGGUGCAUGGAAUACGUGCCAGCUCCUAUACGAUGUGCACCUUGGCACCCACUCAUUGCCAUGCAUGUUGGAGCUUCUGUCGUGUUGGUCCACAGGCUGGUCUCGAAGGUUCCGGGUGGGGAGAGAGCUCUCUCAGUGACUAUCUUGGUCUAGCCUCCGUCUUCCUUAUAUCCGUAACACUGUGAGUACCUAGAACUUGAGCCUGUCCUAGAGUAGCUGAAUCUGUCAGUAUCUGGGUAGAAAUAAGAUUUUUCCCUCUCAGUUCAUUUGCUCCUG
RNAcentral lists this long non-coding RNA (2651 nucleotides) under Mus musculus (house mouse). RNAcentral's name for it is "long non-coding RNA chr18:67937751-67940402". Lineage: Eukaryota; Metazoa; Chordata; Mammalia; Rodentia; Muridae. The record is from RNAcentral.